Long non-coding RNA from Oncorhynchus tshawytscha (Chinook salmon), 4926 nucleotides. The record is from Ensembl. Lineage: Eukaryota; Metazoa; Chordata; Actinopteri; Salmoniformes; Salmonidae.
CAACUGUAGAUGCUUCCAUAAACAAAACAGCAGCACCUACUACGUCAAUCUCAACUGCAGGUCCUACUACCAAUUUAACUCCAACGACAACCUCAACUGAAGCUCCAACAGACAUCACAACUAUCGCUCCUAUGCACCCCACAAUUGCAACUUCAAAUGUAGCAUCACCUACAACAACAACUGCAGAUGCUUCCACAACCAUAAGUGCAGCACCUACUACCUCAAUCCCAACUGCAGGUCCUACUACCAUUUUGACUCCUAAGACAAUCACAACUGAAGCUCCUACAGAAAUCACAACUGUAGCUCUUAUGACCCCCACAAUUGCAGCUUCUACUUUACCAACUGUUGCUCCCACGACCACAACUGCAGCAGCUCCUAUAACAACAACUGUAGAUGCUUCCAGAAACACAACAUCAGCACCUACUACGUCAAUCACAACUGCAGGACCUACUAACAUUUUAACUCCAAUGACAAGCACAACUGAGGCUCCUUCAGACGUCACUACUGUUGCUCCUUUGAACCCCACAAUUGCAGCUUCUUCUUCAACAACUGUAGCUCCCACGAUCACUACAACUGCAGAAGCUCCUACGACAACAACUGUAGCUGCUUCUACAUUUACUACUGCAUCCCCUACUGCAACCACAACAGAAGCUCCUUCUACAACAACUGUAGCACCAAUGACUUUAGGAACAACAGUCCCAACGACAACUGCAGCUAAUUCCUCAACUUUAGCUCCUUCAAUGCCAAUCCCAACUGCAGCUCCUAUAACAACAACUCUUGCUCCUACAACCUCUACAACUUCCGCACCCACUAGUUUAUUCACAACUGCAGGUCCUACUACCAUUUUACCUCCUUCGACAACCACUACAACAUCCACUACAACAACUGUAGCUCCUACAAUGUCAAUCUCAGCUGCAGGUCCUACUACCAAUUUAACUCCAACGACAACCUCAACUGAAGCUCCAACAGACAUCACAACUGUCGCUCCUAUGCACCCCACAAUUGCAACUUCAAAUGUAGCAUCACCUACAACAACAACUGCAGAUGCUUCCACAACCACAAGUGCAGCACCUACUACCUCAAUCCCAACUGCAGGUCCUACUACCAUUUUGACUCCUAAGACAAUCACAACUGAAGCUCCUACAGAAAUCACAACUGUAGCUCUUAUGACCCCCACAAUUGCAGCUUCUACUUUACCAACUGUUGCUCCCACGACCACAACUGCAGCAGCUCCUAUAACAACAACUGUAGAUGCUUCCAAAAACACAACAUCAGCACCUACUACGUCAAUCACAACUGCAGGUCCUACUAACAUUUUAACUCCAAUGAUAAGCACAACUGAGGCUCCUUCAGACUCCACUACUGUUGCUCCUUUGAACCCCACAAUUGCAGCUUCUUCUUCAACAACUGUAGCUCCCACGAUCACUACAACUGCAGAAGCUCCUACGACAACAACUGUAGCUGCUUCUACAUUUACUACUGCAUCCCCUACUGCAACCACAACAGAAGCUCCUUCUACAACAACUGUAGCACCAAUGACUUUAGGAACAACAGUCCCAACGACAACUGCAGCUAAUUCCUCAACUUUAGCUCCUUCAAUGCCAAUCCCAACUGCAGCUCCUAUAACAACAACUCUUGCUCCUACAACCUCUACAACUUCCGCACCCACUAGUUUAUUCACAACUGCAGGUCCUACUACCAUUUUACCUCCUUCAACAACCACUACAACAUCCACUACAACAACUGUAGCUCCUACAAUGUCAAUCUCAGCUGCAGGUCCUACUACCAAUUUAACUCCAACGACAACCUCAACUGAAGCUCCAACAGACAUCACAACUGUAGCACCUAUGCACCCCACAAUUGCAACUUUAACUGUAGCAUCACCUACAACAACAACUGCAGAUGCUUCCACAACCAGAGGUGCAGCACCUACUACCUCAAUCCCAACUGCAGGUCCUACUACCAUUUUGACUCCUAAGACAAUCACAACUGAAGCUCCUACAGAAAUCACAACUGUAGCUCUUAUGCCCCCCACAAUUGCAACUUCAAUUACAACUGUAGCAUCGCCUACAACAACAACUACAGAUGCUUCCACAACCACAAGUGCAGCACCUACUACAUCAAUCCCAACUGCAGGUCCUACUACCAUUUUGACUCCUAAGACAAUCACAACUGAAGCUCCUACAGAAAUCACAACUGUAGCUCUUAUGCCCCCCACAACUUCUACUUCAACAACUGUUGCUCCCACGACCACAACUGCAGCAGCUCCUAUAACAACAACUGUAGAUGCUUCCAGAAACACAACAUCAGCACCUACUACGUCAAUCACAACUGCAGGUCCUACUAACAUUUUGACUCCAAUGACAAGCACAACUGAGGCUCCUUCAGACGUCACUACUGUUGCUCCUUUGAACCCCACAAUUGCAGCUUCUUCUUCAACAACUGUAGCUCCCACGAUCACUACAACUGCAGAAGCUCCUACGACAACAACUGUAGCUGCUUCUACAUUUACUACUGCAUCCCCUACUGCAACCACAACAGACGCUCCUUCUACAACAACUGUAGCAUCAAUGACUUUAGGAACAACAGUCCCAACGACAACUGCAGCUAAUUCCUCAACUUUAGCUCCUUCAAUGCCAAUCCCAACUGCAGCUCCUAUAACAACAACUCUUGCUCCUACAACCUCUACAACUUCAGCACCCACUAGUUUAUUCACAACUGCAGGUCCUACUACCAUUUUACCUCCUUCGACAACCACUACAACAACUGUAGCUCCUACAAUGUCAAUCUCAACUGCAGGUCCUACUACCAAUUUAACUCCAACGACAACCACAACUGAAGCUCUUACAGACAUCACAACUGUAGCUCCUAUGCCACCCACAAUUGCAACUUCAACUGUAGCAUCACCUACAACAACAACUACAGAUGCUUCCACAACCACAGGUGCAGCACCUACUACAUCAAUCACAACUGAAGCUCCUACAGAAAUCACAACUGUAGCUCUUAUGCCCCCCACAAUUGCAACUUCAACUACAACUGUAGCAUCACCUACAACAACAACUACAGAUGCUUCCACAACCACAAGUGCAGCACCUACUACAUCAAUCACAACUGCAGGUCCUACUACCAUUUUGACUCCUAAGACCAUUACAACUGCAGCUCUUAUGACCCCCACAAUUGCAGCUUCUACUUCAACAACUGUUGCUCCCACGACCACAACUGCAGCAGCUCCUAUAACAACAAUUGUAGCUGCUUCCACAAACAAAACAGCAGCACCUACUACGUCAAUCACAACUGCAGGUCCUACUAACAUUUUACCUCCUUCGACAACCACAACUGUAUCACCUAUGACAACCUCAACAACUGUAGCUCCUACAAUGUCAAUCUCAACUGCAGGUCCUACUACCAUUUUACCUCCUACGACAACCACAACUGUAUCACCUAUGACAACCUCAACAACUGUAGCUCCUACAACACCAAUCACAACUGCAGGUCCUAAAACCAUAUUAACGACAACCGCCACUGCAACUUCUACUACAACUACAAAUGCAGGUCCUUCAACCACCACAACUGCAGCGCCUAUUACAACUAGAACAGCAGCUCCUACAAGUUCAACCACAAUUGCACUUCCUACCUCGACAACCACAACGGCAACAUUUACCUCAACUUCUACGGCUUCAGUGGCAUCAACUAGAUUUGGCACAGUGGUGGUUUUUGUAAGACUAGAGUUCCAGCUCAACACUGCAGUCCCCAGUAAGGAUGUCGUCCUUGGUGCCGUCGACAAGAAACUGUCUACACAAUUCAGGACCUUCAAAAUUCAAAGAAACACUCAAGCCACCCUCCAGAAUGCAACUUAUAUCAAACUUUCAGAUACUUCAUUUGCUGUUGAUCUUGGUUUCAAAAUAACCAAUGUAUCUAUGGAGGAGAGACUGCUUCAAAGUGCUAGAGCCACUUUCACCGAUGAUACCUACAGCCAGAUACAGGAUUCAAUUAACAGCCUACUGCAUGAUAUUCUCAGUGAACCAAAAGGCAAACAAUUUGACUUUCCCAAAGCCAAAUUUAGUGUUGUUGGCAAUCAAAUCAGGGCAAACGUGACGUAUGUAUACAAAGAGAAAGACGUCAACCUCCCUAGUGCCUUUCUAGGGGAUGUUUUAAAAGUCUCAGGUCUCCUAACAACCACUGUUGCACCAACAACAACUACCAGCACCUCACCACCUACUACCCCUUUGCUGACCACUCCUUUCAGUAUAAGUGACAGAGGUUUUCCUGGCUGGGCUCUGGCCAUUAUCAUCCCCUGUGGCAUCGCUAUCAUUCUGGUACCCCUGUGGAUCCUGCUAUGUUGCAUGCUAUGUGGCGGCUGUGCAGCUUUAAGGAGACGCUGGCAACAACACAGAGCUUACAACGUACAGUACACCACAAGAAACGGCAUCUUCUGAGGUGACAAGACUAUCAAAAUAACAGCUAAUCAUCUAUAUCUGCUCAUCAUCACAACAAAUAAUAUAUUUUUCAUGUAAUCCAUACACCAUUACUUUUGAGAAGAUCAAACACGGACUUGCUUUUAUUUUUAUAACAAAAUUGCAUUGUUCUUGAAAGGGUUAAUAGGUCAUGUGUUUCCCCAAUGUACUACUUUUUAAUAUUAUACAGUAUUUCUCAUUUUAGUCAAAGCUACAGCUGAGCUGGUAUAUUAUGCAUUUAUGUAAUUUAAUCAUUUAUAUACACAAAAAUAUUAUUUUUGAUUUUUGUCAUUUCCCCUGCUGAUUUAAGCUAUUAACUCACUAUAUUUGAAAGUCUGCAAUACAGCACUUGUUUCUUUAUCAUACAAUUUAACACAUGUAAUAAAAGCCUUUCAAAUCAACAUUAACUGGAUAAAUAAUGUCUGCAGAAAUCCUCUUAGAAUUAUUUAAACAUGCUAUAACGCAACAAUUG